GAUGAACGCUAGCUACAGGCUUAACACAUGCAAGUCGAGGGGCAUCAGGAAGAAAGCUUGCUUUCUUUGCUGGCGACCGGCGCACGGGUGAGUAACACGUAUCCAACCUGCCCUUUACUCGGGGAUAGCCUUUCGAAAGAAAGAUUAAUACCCGAUAGCAUAAUGAUUCCGCAUGGUUUCAUUAUUAAAGGAUUCCGGUAAAGGAUGGGGAUGCGUUCCAUUAGGUUGUUGGUGAGGUAACGGCUCACCAAGCCUUCGAUGGAUAGGGGUUCUGAGAGGAAGGUCCCCCACAUUGGAACUGAGACACGGUCCAAACUCCUACGGGAGGCAGCAGUGAGGAAUAUUGGUCAAUGGGCGCUAGCCUGAACCAGCCAAGUAGCGUGAAGGAUGAAGGCUCUAUGGGUCGUAAACUUCUUUUAUAUAAGAAUAAAGUGCAGUAUGUAUACUGUUUUGUAUGUAUUAUAUGAAUAAGGAUCGGCUAACUCCGUGCCAGCAGCCGCGGUAAUACGGAGGAUCCGAGCGUUAUCCGGAUUUAUUGGGUUUAAAGGGAGCGUAGGUGGACUGGUAAGUCAGUUGUGAAAGUUUGCGGCUCAACCGUAAAAUUGCAGUUGAUACUGUCAGUCUUGAGUACAGUAGAGGUGGGCGGAAUUCGUGGUGUAGCGGUGAAAUGCUUAGAUAUCACGAAGAACUCCGAUUGCGAAGGCAGCUCACUGGACUGCAACUGACACUGAUGCUCGAAAGUGUGGGUAUCAAACAGGAUUAGAUACCCUGGUAGUCCACACAGUAAACGAUGAAUACUCGCUGUUUGCGAUAUACAGUAAGCGGCCAAGCGAAAGCAUUAAGUAUUCCACCUGGGGAGUACGCCGGCAACGGUGAAACUCAAAGGAAUUGACGGGGGCCCGCACAAGCGGAGGAACAUGUGGUUUAAUUCGAUGAUACGCGAGGAACCUUACCCGGGCUUAAAUUGCAGUGGAAUGAUGUGGAAACAUGUCAGUGAGCAAUCACCGCUGUGAAGGUGCUGCAUGGUUGUCGUCAGCUCGUGCCGUGAGGUGUCGGCUUAAGUGCCAUAACGAGCGCAACCCUUAUCUUUAGUUACUAACAGGUUAUGCUGAGGACUCUAGAGAGACUGCCGUCGUAAGAUGUGAGGAAGGUGGGGAUGACGUCAAAUCAGCACGGCCCUUACGUCCGGGGCUACACACGUGUUACAAUGGGGGGUACAGAAGGCAGCUAGCGGGUGACCGUAUGCUAAUCCCAAAAUCCUCUCUCAGUUCGGAUCGAAGUCUGCAACCCGACUUCGUGAAGCUGGAUUCGCUAGUAAUCGCGCAUCAGCCACGGCGCGGUGAAUACGUUCCCGGGCCU
Molecule: ribosomal RNA, 1359 nt
Filed under: uncultured bacterium
Lineage: Bacteria
Description: bacterial SSU rRNA
Rfam family: Bacterial small subunit ribosomal RNA
Source: RNAcentral